Molecule: ribosomal RNA, 253 nt
Filed under: uncultured bacterium
Lineage: Bacteria
Description: partial 16S ribosomal RNA
Rfam family: Bacterial small subunit ribosomal RNA
Source: RNAcentral
UACGAAGGGGGCUAGCGUUGCUCGGAAUUACUGGGCGUAAAGGGCGCGUAGGCGGAUCGUUAAGUCAGAGGUGAAAUCCCGGAGCUCAACUUCGGAAUUGCCUUUGAUACUGGCGAUCUUGAGUGUGAGAGAGGUAUGUGGAACUCCGAGUGUAGAGGUGAAAUUCGUAGAUAUUCGGAAGAACACCAGUGGCGAAGGCGACAUACUGGCUCAUUACUGACGCUGAGGCGCGAAAGCGUGGGGAGCAAACAGG